GUAUUCUAGAUUUGAUGUGGUGUAGGAAUGUUAAUAGUAAUAGUGAAAUGUAUAUAGAAUUGGUAUAAAAUAAAUUGGAUAUUGGUAGCUUGAAAAGGUAGAUAUUCGAUUCACGAAAGCUUGAGGUGUGACAGGGAUUUGAGACCCCUUUAAUUCGAGACUGAAAUUAUGCAGGCAAUGUUUGUGGAUCUCUUUUUAACAAAUAAAGGUUCUUUUCCUAAGGAGUACGCUUUCACUUGUGAAACUUAAAUGUUCUGGUGGUGGUUUAGAACAAUAGUGGAAUAGAUGAUUUAAUUCGAUGAAAUGCGAUAAAGCUUAUCUGUUAUCUGAAAUAAUACCUAGGUAUAGGUAGAAUUCUAUUCGAGGUAGUGCAUGGCUGUUGGAGGGUAAUGUUUUGUAAUAUCUGGUUUCGGACAGGAAUAGCCGAUACACUUUUAGUUG
Molecule: ribosomal RNA, 441 nt
Filed under: Alexandrium margalefii
Lineage: Eukaryota; Dinophyceae; Gonyaulacales; Pyrocystaceae
Description: partial Bacterial small subunit ribosomal RNA
Rfam family: Bacterial small subunit ribosomal RNA
Source: RNAcentral